This 454-nucleotide ribosomal RNA is filed under the name uncultured Prevotella sp. RNAcentral describes it as "partial 16S ribosomal RNA". It matches the Rfam family "Bacterial small subunit ribosomal RNA", at positions 341 to 792 of the family's 1533-position model. The record is from RNAcentral. Lineage: Bacteria; Pseudomonadati; Bacteroidota; Bacteroidia; Bacteroidales; Prevotellaceae.
ACGGAAGGCAGCAGUGAGGAAUAUUGGUCAAUGGACGAGAGUCUGAACCAGCCAAGUAGCGUGCAGGAUGACGGCCCUAUGGGUUGUAAACUGCUUUUGUACGGGAAUAAAGUGACCUACGUGUAGGUUUUUGCAUGUACCGUAAGAAUAAGGACCGGCUAAUUCCGUGCCAGCAGCCGCGGUAAUACGGAAGGUCCGGGCGUUAUCCGGAUUUAUUGGGUUUAAAGGGUGCGUAGGCGGACGCGUAAGUCAGCGGUGAAAUAUCCCGGCUCAACCGGGAGGCUGCCGUUGAUACUGCGCGACUAGAGUCCGAACGGCGCCGGCGGAAUAUGUAAUGUAGCGGUGAAAUGCAUAGAUAUUACAUAGAACACCGAUCGCGAAGGCAGCUGGCGAGGACGGCACUGACGCUGAGGCACGAAGGCGUGGGGAUCAAACAGGAUUAGAUACCCUGGUA